Molecule: long non-coding RNA, 2198 nt
Organism: Salmo salar (Atlantic salmon)
Lineage: Eukaryota; Metazoa; Chordata; Actinopteri; Salmoniformes; Salmonidae
Source: RefSeq, a predicted model, not a curated record
CAUUUGUUUUCUAGAGCAGCAGAACGGCCAGGACCGGCACUGGCAGGAAGUGUAUUGCAUGUCAUGGGUUUGCUAAAUACAAUGUAACUAACUUAUGCAUGAUAUUGUGUCGGCUAAACUGUAUCCGCAGGCGUUACAAUUAUCAUCACAUAUAAUGAAUUUGAUUUCUAGCUUAAAAUUAACAUACCGUGCAUGCAAUACAUCAAUCAAAAAACAAUUACACAUUCAUAGAACCUAACAGGAUAAUGUGCAGAUAUUAGGAGUAUACUUUCGGAAUGCACUUUUCUGCAAACAAAUUCAAACCUACUCCGUUAGCUCCAGCAGAAGACUGUUGAGGUUUCGUUGUAGAUUUCGCGCGCAUCAAAACAAGUAUUUGCGGAAGCUUCAGCACCAUGCGCACAAACAGCGUGCUAAAGUUUGCGACAUAUAGUAGCUGGACUGAUUCCAUUAUUUCAUAAUUAGACGGAGAUCUAUCGACCUAUGGCUUCUGGGUGACUUGGUAGAUCACUCGCGAGUCGCGACUACAUAGCGGAUUUUACCUAGGGCUGCAAGUAACAUCUCCACAAAGGUGCAUUCCUAAUAAGAUUGGUGUUAAGUGAGAAAGAAUCCUAAAGAUGGUCAAAUGGGCAUGAAGCCUCUCUCUUCAUCUCAGUCUGUUGAACCACCAGAUUUCCUGUAGGGCAGAGAUGCAGGCCCUGCUGAACAAUGUAAAGCAGUCGAUGAAACACCUGCAGGGUCAGCUGAAUGACAUACAUGGAAAGUUUAUUGAGUUGCAGACUGCUAUCUCUCAGAUAGUGUCAGAUGAGUCUAAGAUACUGUAGAAUAACUCUAUGUUAUGGUGAGGAUGAUGAUUGAAAUGUUUGGGAUGGAUUGGUGUGAAUUACAUUAGAUUGCAAGUGGUAGAUUUUUCUUGAAUGACUGUAUGUGCUCUAUACUUCAUCCCAGAAGCCAACAUUGCUGCACAGACGGAGGUAAUCUCAACAUCCAAUCACAACAUCCCAACAAGCAGCAUUUCUGAACAGAGGGAAGAGAUCCUACCGAAAGCCGGUGUCCCUGUGAAGAAUAGAGACAAUCCUCCACAACCACCUCCCAUCAUCCCCAUGGUGGGACGAAAGUGGGAAUGGGAUGCUGGAGUGUGUACUAUUCCAAGAGAAGAGAUGUCCUGAGUAGACAUGUUGUGCAUCCUGCUAUGAUGUCCAUCACCAAGCCAGAACACUCCGAGGCCAACCCUCGAAGCCAGACUGGCAGCCGGGCCAGUGGCUGAGCCUGAGACCCCUGCGGCAAAGAACACACCAAACAAUGGUGGCUGGCUCAGCUGGUUCUCUGGAGGGGAAAAGAGGUUCAUCCGAAGGAGGCUCAUCUACCCGAGGACAAAGACAAAUCGAUUAUCUGGGAUCCAACCCUGCACAGAUGGGUUGACAAAAUUGAGCCCAAUGCUGAGAACAAGCCAGUACCACCACCUCCCCCGAUGGGAAUGAAUGGACAUCUGGGGAACUCUGGCAGUCUCCCCAAAGGAGUGAAUCCUUAGUCCAUGAAAGCAGGUGAAUGUUACUUUAGACUACAUUAGGCUUAACUCUAAGACUGUACCAGCCAAUCAUUGCUCUUUGUGGUGAUCUCCUGCUACCAUUUUCCCCACUAACUGCAAGUCUAUGGUUCAAUUAUGGACCACCACAAAGCCUCCAAGCCAGGGACUUGGACUGCGUCCUCCCUCACACUCUACCCUCAUUGCACCUAUGGCGUUGCCAUUUGAGUCUGCUCAAGAUAGCUGGAAGAAUCUUGCCCCUGGUAUUCUAUCCUAUAGAGGUAUUAUUCUGAACAAUCCUUCCAAAAAGAAUCAAUUUCAUUAACUAUGCCUUUACUUUACAGUAACAUACAGUAGUAUAUGGCUGAAGUAACAGUGAUGUUAACUUUUUGUAUUUUUGUCCCACAGGCAAUUUUCCCAGAGUGGAUUUCUUUAUAAGGGGAUUUUUCUGCAUUUUCAAAGAAUAAGAAAAAUAUUUAGCAAAGAAAAAUAUUAUUUGGCGAUUGCCAAAUUAGUUCUUAGUUAAAAGACUCAAGCAUUUCCCUCUCUCUGUCAUUUCGUCAUGUUCACAUAGCUUUGAUAUGUUCAUCACUUACAAGCCCAUUGAUAAUGAAAUUAAUCAUCUGUGUAGCUCCAGUUAUGCCUUAAUGCCAAAUAAAUGGGGGAAAUUGCACCA